CCUACGGGUGGCAGCAGUGGGGAAUAUUGCACAAUGGGGGGAACCCUGAUGCAGCGACGCCGCGUGGGUGAAGGAGUCCUUCUGUGCGUAAAGCCCUAUCAGCAGGGAAGAAAAUUGCGGUACCUGUCUGAUCAUCCCCGGCCAACUACGUUCCCGCCGCCCCGGUAACACGCAGGGGGCCACCGUUAUCCGGAUUUUCUGGGUGUAAAGGGGGCUUAGGAGGCAGGGCAAGUCCGGAGUGAAAGUCCGGGGCCCAACCGUGGGACUGCUGUGGAAACCGGCAGGCUGGAGUGCGGGAGGGGCAGGCGGAAUUCGUGGUGUAGCGGUGAAAUGCUUAGAUAUCAGGAGGAACACCGGUGGCGAAGGCGGCCUGCUGGACUGCAACUGACGUUGAGGCUCGAAAGCGUGGGUAGCAAACAGGAUUAGAUACCCGAGUAGUC
RNAcentral lists this ribosomal RNA (440 nucleotides) under uncultured bacterium. Its description in RNAcentral is "partial 16S ribosomal RNA". It matches the Rfam family "Bacterial small subunit ribosomal RNA", at positions 338 to 795 of the family's 1533-position model. The record is from RNAcentral.